Molecule: ribosomal RNA, 253 nt
Filed under: uncultured bacterium
Lineage: Bacteria
Description: partial 16S ribosomal RNA
Rfam family: Bacterial small subunit ribosomal RNA
Source: RNAcentral
UACGUAGGGACCAAGCGUUGUCCGGAAUCAUUGGGCGUAAAGAGCGUGUAGGCGGCUUGUUAAGUCUUGCGUGAAAUCUCGGGGCUCAACCCCGAGCGGUCGUGAGAAACUGGCAGGCUAGAGUGCGGGAGAGGAGAGUGGAAUUCCUGGUGUAGCGGUGAAAUGCGUAGAUAUCGGGAGGAACACCUGUGGCGAAGGCGGAUCUCUGGGCCUUACCUGACGCUCAGGUGCGAAAGCUAGGGGAGCGAACAGG